Bacteroidetes bacterium OLB10 is the source of this 2887-nucleotide non-coding RNA. NCBI's taxonomy places the organism in Bacteria, Pseudomonadati, Bacteroidota. The record is from Rfam.
AAAAAAGUUACUAAGGGCACAUGGUGAAUGCCUUGGCUCUCAAUGUCGAUGAAGGACGUGAUUACCUGCGAUAAGCUUCGGGGAGGUGGAAAUAACCUUUGAUCCGGAGAUCUCCGAAUAGGGAAACCUUUAGUAUUGAAGAUACUAAAUCUAAAUAGAAGACAACCCAGAGAACUGAAACAUCUAAGUACCUGGAGGAAAAGAAAACAACCGUGAUUCCCCAAGUAGUGGCGAGCGAACGGGGAACAGCCUAAACCAAAAAUGUUACGGCAUUUUUGGGGUCGUAGGACUGCAACGUGGACUUUUAAUCGAAAAUGGAAGCUGUCUGGAAAGCAGCAUCAUAGAAGGUGAUAAUCCUGUACAUGAAUUCGAUUAAAUACCUAGCAGUAUCCUGAGUACUACGGGGUCGGAGACGCCCUGUAGGAAUCCACCGGCACCAUCCGGUAAGGCUAAAUACAAUUGAGAGACCGAUAGCGAACAAGUACUGUGAAGGAAAGGUGAAAAGAACCGCGAACAGCGGAGUGAAAUAGAACCUGAAACCAUGUGCUUACAAGCGGUUGGAGUCCUGAUUUAUCAGGAUGACAGCGUGCCUUUUGCAUAAUGAGCCUACGAGUUACUCCUCUCUGGCAAGGUUAAUCCCGUGUACGGGAGCAGCCGAAGCGAAAGCAAGUCUUAAUAGGGCGAAUAGUCAGAGGGGGUAGACGCGAAACCUUGUGAUCUACCCUUGGUCAGGAUGAAGGAAGGGUAACACCUUCUGAAGGUCCGAACUGGUAAACGUUGAAAAGUUUUCGGAUGAACUGAGGGUAGGGGUGAAAGGCUAAUCAAACUGGGAAAUAGCUCGUACUCCCCGAAAUGUUUUUAGGAACAGCCUCGAUUCAAUUGUCAUAGAGGUAGAGCUACUAAUUGGGCUAGGGGGCUUCACCGCCUACCAAACCCAGAUAAACUCCGAAUGCUAUUGACAUAUAAUCGGGAGUGAGGCUCCGGGUGCUAAGGUCCGGGGCCAAAAGGGAAACAACCCAGACCAUCAGCUAAGGUCCCUAAAUAUAUACUAAGUUGAUAAAACGUGGUCUGAUUGCUUUGACAGCUAGGAUGUUUGCUUGGAAGCAGCAAUUCAUUUAAAGAGUGCGUAACAGCUCACUAGUCGAGCGAUCGGGCGUGGAUAAUAAACGGGCAUUAAGUAUAUUACCGAAGCUAUGGUCUCGUCAGCAAUGACGAGAGGUAGGGGAGCAUUCCAGCGGCACUGAAGAUUUUGUGUAAACAAAAUUGGAGCUUCUGGAAAAGCAAAUGUAGGCAUAAGUAACGAUAAUGCAGGUGAAAAACCUGCACACCGUAAGACUAAGGUUUCCUGAUCAAUGCUAAUCAGAUCAGGGUUAGUCGGGGCCUAAGGAUAAUCCGAAAGGAAAUGCCGAUGGACAACUGGUUAAUAUUCCAGUACUGGUUAUUGUAGUGAUGGAACUACGAAGAAGUGAAAGGUCUGCGCACUGACGGAUAUGUGCGUUAAAGCCCGUAGAUAUAAAUUAUACAGGAAAAUCCGUAUAGUUUGUCGAAGGUGACAGUACCACAAGUCUUCGGACAAGUGGAUAAUGACCCUAAACAGGCUUCCAAGAAACAUUCCUAAACUUAUACAAUAACUACCCGUACCGUAAUCCGACACAGGUAGUCGAGGAGAGAAUCCUAAGGUGCUCGAGUGAAUCAUGGCUAAGGAACUCGGCAAAUUAACCCUGUAACUUCGGGAUAAAGGGUGCCACGCGCAAGCGUGGCCGCAGUGAAAUGGCCCAGGCGACUGUUUAACAAAAACACAUGGCUUUGCUAAAUCGAAAGAUUACGUAUAAGGCCUGACACCUGCCCGGUGCUGGAAGGUUAAGAGGAGAUGUCAGAAGCAAUUCAAAGCAUUGAAUCGAAGCCCCAGUAAACGGCGGCCGUAACUAUAACGGUCCUAAGGUAGCGAAAUUCCUUGUCGGGUAAGUUCCGACCUGCACGAAUGGUGUAACGAUCUGGGCACUGUCUCAGCCAUGAGCUCGGUGAAAUUGUAGUAUCGGUGAAGAUGCCGAUUACCCGCAACGGGACGGAAAGACCCCGUGCACCUUCACUACAACUUUGCAUUGAGUUUGGGUAAUUGAUGUGUAGGAUAGGUGGGAGACUUUGAAGUGGUGGCGCCAGCAUCAUGGAGUCAACCUUGAAAUACCACCCUUUAAUUAUUUGAAUUCUAAUCCCGUAAUACGGGAGACAGUGCAUGGUGGGUAGUUUGACUGGGGUGGUCGCCUCCAAAAGAGUAACGGAGGCUUUCAAAGGUACCCUCAGCACGCUUGGUAACCGUGCGUAGAGUGCAAUAGCAUAAGGGUGCUUGACUGUGAGACCGACAAGUCGAGCAGGAACGAAAGUUGGAUAUAGUGAUCCGGUGGUUCCGCAUGGAAGGGCCAUCGCUCAAAGGAUAAAAGGUACGCCGGGGAUAACAGGCUGAUCUCCCCCAAGAGCUCACAUCGACGGGGAGGUUUGGCACCUCGAUGUCGGCUCGUCACAUCCUGGGGCUGGAGAAGGUCCCAAGGGUUGGGCUGUUCGCCCAUUAAAGUGGCACGCGAGCUGGGUUCAGAACGUCGUGAGACAGUUCGGUCCCUAUCUGUUGUGGGCGUAGGAAGUUUGAGAGGAGCUGACUCUAGUACGAGAGGACCGAGUUGGACGAACCUCUAGUGUACCUGUUGUGGCGCCAGCUGCACCGCAGGGUAGCUACGUUCGGUUAAGAUAAGCGCUGAAAGCAUCUAAGCGCGAAACUUGCCUCAAGAUAAGACUUCUUUAUAAGGGUCGUUAAAGACUAUAACGUUGAUAGGUUGCAAGUGUAAAGGCAGUAAUGCCAAAGCUGAGCAAUACUAAUUACCCGAGACUUUUAUUG